AGAAAGAAUGCUGGAACUGCUAAUUCCACAACCCCAUAAAUAACAUUAUGGCUUUCUU
This 58-nucleotide transfer RNA is filed under the name Proechimys simonsi (Simon's spiny rat). RNAcentral's name for it is "tRNA-Ser". Lineage: Eukaryota; Metazoa; Chordata; Mammalia; Rodentia; Echimyidae. The record is from RNAcentral.